AAAGAGACAAAACAAUAUAUGUUUCUUUACGUUUUUUUAUUAUUAUCUUUAUUUUAUAUAUAUAUAUAUAUAUAUUAUUGCAUUUUAGGUUUUGGGAUACAUGUGAAGAACAUGCAGGAUUGUUGCAUGGGUACAUACAUGGCAAUGUGGUUUGCUGCCUUCCUCCCCAUCACCUAUAUCUGGCAUUUCUCCCAUGUUCUCUCUCCACAAGUUAAUUCCUCUUUUUUUUGUUUCCCAUAGCACUUUUAUUGUGAGUUUGUAUUUGGCACCUGUCACAUCAUAACUUGGUUCUUUUCGACAGUGAUUUAUUGAGCUCUCUCUUUGUGCCAGGCAUCUUGCUAGACACUGGGGACAGAGAUCAAUUAGAUACAAAUCCUGCCCUCAAGGAGCUCACAGUCUAGAAAUGGAGGUGGGAAUAUAAACAAAUAAAUCAUACAACUGAGGGAGUGUGGCAAUAAAAGGUAUAUACAAGGCACAGGUUUAGCACAGAGAAGGUGGUUAGCUUGAUCUAGGGACGGAAGGAUCAGGAAAGACUUGCUGGAUUAGGCGAUAAGUCAUGUAGCUCUGUUUCUUGAAGUUCAGUGUGAGCUCUUUGAGAACAGGGGUUAUGCCUUAUUCACCUUAUUAUCCCUAUCACCUAACAUAAUGCCUAGCACAUUGUAGAUAGUCAAGAGCUAUCAGUGGAAUUUACUUGAACAUGUAAGAAUCUGGUUUUAAAAGGCAAAGUGUCUAGAGGCCCAUUUUUUUUUUUUUUUUUAAUAUUCAGUAUCAUCUUUUUGUCUGGUUUGGUCCAGCUUUGCUUCUGCCUAUGUGUGCCUGCAUGUUUGAAAUGAGAACAAAGCUGUUUUUCUUGGUUACAUUGAUUGUGAAAAUGGCCUUACUAUAUGGGGUGCCACAUAUGCUGCUUUUAUUUUCUCUUUCAUUUAGAUGUUUUCUUAAUUUAUUAACUUGAAAAAUUAUGUUCAUUUAAUUAACUAGUAUAAGAAAUUUUUAGAGAUCCAACAAACUAAUAAGAUUUUACAGAUUUUUGAAAAAUAAUGUUUUCUUCUUUAUGGAAACAUGCAUUUGCAAAUAUUAACAUUGACUUCAAAUAAUUAUUACAAAUAAAGUUCAAAGUAUAGAUGUCUUUGGUGUUAGGCCGGUUAAAGUCUAACAUGUUAUUACACAGUACAGGGAUGUUGAAUCCUAUUUAAGUCUAUCUUUGACACCAUGAAACCUGAUACAGUUUCAUUAAAUUGAAUGGCAAUUGUGUUUUAAAAUAAAUUUAUAAAACAAAGAUUUUAACCUGCUAUACUAAUGGCUCCAUAUUAAUAAAAUGCUUGUCUGUGACCUUUAAGAUAAGCAAUUUCAAUAGCAAUCAUCUGACAUCUUUGUGGAUCCUGAAUAAAACCAAACUGAUUAUGAAAAUGACACAUUGCAAAAAAAUUUAUCCCCAUAUUUCCUUUUUAGGUAUGACAUUAAAAGAACAAUAUUAAUUUAAAGGGCAUAAAAAUUCACAUAAUCACCAUAAAUAUAGAAUCCAGUUUACAGAUGACUACAAUGAAGAAAUCUGUUAGCUAAUUAUGUAGCAACCUGACUCUGGUUCUCAACAUUUUAUCAGCUUAUGUUCCUUAACACCAUAUGUUAUAGGGAACAGUAAAGACAUCUGAAUUCAAAUAUUUUGAAGAAAUGUGUAUUUAGCAAGUGAAUACAUGCUAAAAGGAAUAAUUUACAGCAGCAGUUUCAUUACAUUUUUCUCUCCAGUUUUUCUAGUUCCCAUCUGAAAUGCAGUGAUAAAUACAGAUAUGGAACAUAUUUCCUACCUGGCAAAAAACAUGCUUAUUGAAUGGGCACACACCUUCUGUCCUUAAAUAGUACAUAAAGCACCUUGUCACCUGCGUGGGAAAAUCUUGCAUUUUAGGAUGAUGUUGAACACAUUGAAAUGGAGUACCUAUAGAAAGUUUUAUUUUACACUGUUCUUCCUUUUUUCCCCCCAAAUUAUUUACAUUUCUUUUGCCUAAUGUGUAGGUAGCGUAGCAAAAAUAUUAAACACAUACCAUUUAAAAUUACUAAAUAAUACAUAAAAUGAAGUGUGCAUUUACAUGCAUUUACAUUUUACAUUUGAUAUCGACUGGGCCAUACUUUCUUUGCUGUGAUUCAUCUUUCUCAUACCUUAAGACUGCUUUUGUAAUUUUCCUAAGGUCACAUAAGUCUCUUUAACGGUUUCAUCUGUGAUGAUUCAUGCAUAUGACAAAGUCUUUUAAAGCUGAAUUAUUAAAUGGGUCAUUACUUCUUUUUCGUGCAAACUGCCCUCUCUCAAUACAUGUGGGCAGAAGUUUAUGACUGUAAUGAGUUAUUUAGCUGCAAGUUAUAUCUACAAUUUUCUUUUAAAACUUAGACAUGAUGGUAUAUAAAGACAUGCCUGUAGAUUUUUUUAGUUACUUUUAAUUGAAGUCUAGACUUUUUUCUAUUGUAAUUUCAUAAUGCUAAACAAAAUGCAUUCAAAUUAAUUUUGGAAGGCUUCUAUAAAGUUAUCAUAUAAUCUCUGUCCCUUCAAAUCCUUUAUUUUUGAGGAUUAAUAAGAUAUUUCUGCCAUUGCAAAUAAAUUUGUUUCAGCUACAAAUUUAGAAUGAAUUACAACACUGAAUGUUAGUACAGUUAAGACACUUUUUGAAAAUAAAAGAAUGACCUAUUUUUUUGGAGCCCUCUUUGUUCUUUGACUUAUAUUUCCAAACACUAUUUUCUGUACAGUGGUGUGUUCUUCAAAUAACUUAACAAUUCAGCUUUCAUUUGAGGAUAUACAAUACUUCCAAAAGCAACACCAUAUUAGUCAAUGGAGCCUAAAAUUGAAUGUAGAUUAUUUUUAGGCUUUUAUUUGAAACAAGUGGCAACAGCUUGUUUAUUCAAAGCAAUCAUUAAAACUGAAACAUGAGCUUCCAUCUGUGAAAUAUUUCAGCUGAUAGGAAAUAAAAAUUCACUGUAGUCUGAGGUGAGAAAUUGAUGCUGAGAUAAUUAGAAUCCAAAGACAGCAAGAGUUGGAAUUUCAAUGUUGCUUCAUGAAUUACUAAUAAGAUAUUUCCUUUGCAUUUUUGUGCAUGAUGAAGAACCUGGGGAAGGAGUCCUGAAUAGGUUAGUGCAGUGCAAAAGAAACCACAGUAUAAUGCUAAAAGUUUUGAAUAUCUCAAAGUCAGUGAUUUUCAAUGAAUCAUUUUAGGACAAUGAAGGAAGCAAAUCUUGAAUUUUAGUCUUUUACCUUAUUUUGUAAGUUGUUGCAGGAAACAGAGAGUUUUACAUUGUUUAACUGUGGGUUGCAUCCCAGAAAAUACUUUGCAGAAAAGUUCUUCCCAUUGACAUGAAAAGAGUCAUGUGUUUCUUGUACAAAUAAUUGUCUUAAACAAGAAAGAUAAGAGGAACCUGAUACAGAUAUAAAUGGUUGGAAACUUUGCCUUUAUCAUGUUGCUCUGAAUAGUAUUGAUCUCUCUCUUUUAAAAAAACUUGACACAGAUAUAAUUCUUAGUGGAGUCAUAAGAGAGAUCUUUGUCUCAAAUAUCAUGCAGGGAUUCAAGCACAGAAUUAGACACAUUUUCUAUUAACAGUAUAGUAAGACAAUGCUUAUUAUUUUCAUGAAAUAUGCAAUUCCUUUUCCCUUCAUUGACUCAUUAGAUAUAGUAAAAUGCACUUAAUAAUCGAUUUCUUUCUUCCUUUUUUACUGGUUAAGUUGUUCUGUUUUUUUCUAAGAACAUUAUGCAAGUUAAAAUUAAUUUACAUAAUACCUAAAGAAGGGGAGGUGUGAACAGCUUCCAUUUGUUUGAUUUUUCUCUGUGAAAUAAAGCAUAAUUUAUAUCCUGGUUUUAGAGAUUCAUUCUUAAUGAUGUACAUGUGUUUCUACAACAGUAUCAUCCAUCCCUCUUAUAGAAUUGAAAAUAAAAUGUCCAAAGAAAGCAGCACACUAUUGGAAUUUUUAAAACAAAACUACAUAGCACAAUAAUUGUAAGACAAAUUCUACUCUAGCUUAGAAAACAACUAAUUUUUACUGCAUAUUUGUCAUGGUACAUUUAAAUUAUAGUUUUAAUAAAAUACAUCUUUAGAUCAAAGCUGAAAGAAGACAUCAGUAGUAGAUCAGU
Molecule: long non-coding RNA, 4103 nt
Organism: Callithrix jacchus (white-tufted-ear marmoset)
Lineage: Eukaryota; Metazoa; Chordata; Mammalia; Primates; Cebidae
Source: Ensembl